This 447-nucleotide ribosomal RNA is filed under the name uncultured bacterium. Its description in RNAcentral is "partial 16S ribosomal RNA". It matches the Rfam family "Bacterial small subunit ribosomal RNA", at positions 29 to 523 of the family's 1533-position model. The record is from RNAcentral.
AGCGAACGCUGGCGGCAGGCUUAACACAUGCAAGUCGAACGCCCCGCAAGGGGAGUGGCAGACGGGUGAGUAACACGUGGGAACGCACCCUUUGGUUCGGAAUAACUUGGGGAAACUCAAGCUAAUACCGGAUAAGCCCUUAUGGGGAAAGGUUUACUGCCGAAGGAUCGGCCCGCGUCUGAUUAGCUAGUUGGUGAGGUAAUGGCUCACCAAGGCGACGAUCAGUAGCUGGUCUGAGAGGAUGAUCAGCCACACUGGGACUGAGACACGGCCCAGACUCCUACGGGAGGCAGCAGUGGGGAAUAUUGGACAAUGGGGGCAACCCUGAUCCAGCCAUGCCGCGUGAGUGAUGAAGGCCUUAGGGUUGUAAAGCUCUUUUACCCGGGACGAUAAUAACUGUACCGGGAGAAUAAGCCCCGGCUAACUUCGUGCCAGCAGCCGCGGUAA